This is a long non-coding RNA of Myotis lucifugus (little brown bat), 2256 nucleotides long. RefSeq lists it as uncharacterized. The record is from RefSeq and is a predicted model, not a curated record. The transcript has 2 exons. NCBI's taxonomy places the organism in Eukaryota, Metazoa, Chordata, Mammalia, Chiroptera, Vespertilionidae.
CAUCCAGGCGGGGAGAAAACUGCAAAGGGCAUAACAAUAUAAGACUGGCAACUGGCAGGGCUCAAUCCCAGAUUCGUAAGUAGGCACUGUCCGGCAUUUUGCUCUGUAUCAGAUGCCCAGCAUUCUGCCAGCACAAAGCCGGUGUGCUGCAAGUACCUGCUGAACACAGAGCAUGUUGACUCUAUGCUCAGCACUAUGCAAGCCACGAUGGGCACACCGAGAUGGAGAUGACACGGAAUCCUGCCUCACAAGACCUCAAAGCCUACAUAUUCGUGAGAAAAGGACCCCUGAGCAGAAAUCGAGAGCUUCGGUCACUCAUUCCCUGAGCCCAUACAAACCUUUCUCGGAAACGACACAGAGGAGACGAGCUGGAAUUAUCCAGCACACAGGAAGAACGCAAACCCUGGAAAAGGAAGCUGGUGAGCUACACUCUGAUGGGCUGAGCUGGCUCACCCAAGUCCUUCAAGAAAGAGGGGAAGUGCACAAUCAGAAGCCAACGCCAAUACUCACGAUGGGAAGCCUGUGGGUGAGCAGGCGCAGGACACGCACGUCCUUGGAGGAAGGGCUGUUCUAAUCCUCUGCCCCACGAUGCAAGCUUAGCGUGACAGCAGCAGCUCAAGUCCUCAACACAGUGGACCUCCCUGUGGGGUUUUCAUUUGGUGUUUCUUUCUUUCUUGUUGGCACCCACCAAGCAUCUAGGAAGACGUCUCCAACCAGAGGGUGUCUUUGCCUGGCACCUACCCUUCCUAUACUUCCUACUCUCGCUGGAAGUACCUGCCUCCGCCUGGCCGGAGAGAUAAUCACCUGCCUGAAAUCAGACGCUUAACCCAUUACGACUCGCUCAAGGUCUGGAGCAAGAAAGCGUAUCAGGUGAAGCUGGCCUAUGGCUUGGAUGAAAACCCAAGCCCUGUAAACAGGCAAGCCCCGAGCAGGCAGGGACUCUUGAGAACCCCUGGAGGGGCUGCACGCAUCCUGGGGUUUUGUUUAACCAGACAGGCAGGGCACCGAGACCCAGGUCUCCUGUUUGUAGGUAGUCUCGGCAUUUCCACCGCUAGGAAAUUCAAGGAUAACGGCUUCUUACUUAAAAAAUGUAACUGUCUUCUCAUCCACCAUCACGGCGAGAAAAUGAAUUCUCCCACUGAUAAACUUCAGUGUGAAGUUAGCCUUCAAUAAACGAACAACGAACAGUUUCUUUUAAAGUUGAAAUGCGCAAUCUAACGAAAUUCAAUUAUUAAAUGCAUAUAAGAUAUUAGAUAUAUUUUAAUUUGCCUCUCUAAAAUAAUUCACACUAAGAGAAAAUAACUUAGCAACAUAACCCCUAUCAGGAAGGACAUUUUAUUCUUAACCAUGCGACUUCUGGGUUUUAUACAUUUUCUGAAAUUACAUACUCCCCCCCGGAUCUGUUUAAUCAGAACUUCACGGACACCACACUUCUGAUUUUGAUGUCAACGGAAUGCCGUAAGCAAAGAAAAGAGACUCUCCAUAUUGAACGUCUGGCUUAGCCAUUAACUGUGUGAGCUGGACAAGUCGUGUUUUGUCACCUAAAAGUCGGGCAGGGAGAUGGGACAGGUAGAAUCUAAAAGACGCCCUCCCUCCUCUAGCUCUCACAGGUCUUUGUUCCACCCUCUCAGCGCUCCCGAUCCGCCACUGAACACACCACUGAUGGGAGAAUGCAAAGCACAAGUAGGAACACACACUGGCUCCUUUUGCACAUGGAACCAGGAGACCCCGGAAGGUCAUGCCAGCUACCCACAAACCGAAGCAGCCCCGGUUUCUCAUCAGCUCACCCUCUGCCUCUGAACCAGCGCCGAGGUGGACGACACGCUGGGGACUCGCCACGGAGAACACACCACCUCUGCUGUGCCCGGAGACUCUCUCCACGGGCGGCCUCAGAAAACACCAGGGUGGUUCCAGCCAGACCAGUCAGUGCAAACUGGUCUUGCACUUGACAAACAGCAGGCAGUUCCUGCUGUCAGGGUCACCGCAGUGGGCUCAGAGUUCUGUUUGAGAAAUACUCCUGCCCAGAAAAAAUAUUUACACAACCGAGAGUGGGCUGCCGGCGUUCCACCUGCGCUGCCAGGAGCCUCUGGCUCCGAGUGACCGGGGGGUACAGUGGCCUUUGUACCUCCUUGAAGAUCAGCGUGGAGACAAAGCCUGGAGCCGAGUGACUGACAGGCUCACGCAUGAAAUGUAUUCUAUUAAUUUAAAAUGACAACCGCAUUUUCGUGCCAUUCAAUAAAGACUUUAAUAAGUAAA